AACGCUAGCGGCGUGCCUAACACAUGCAAGUCGAACGGAAACGCGAAGAGCUUGCUCUUUGGCGUCGAGUGGCGGACGGGUGAGUAACGCGUGGGAAUCUACCCAGUAGUGGAGGACAGCCAGGAGAAAUCCUGAUUAAUACUGCAUACGAUCUACGGAUGAAAGGUGGCCUCUACUUGUAAGCUAUCGCUAUUGGAUGAGCCCGCGUUAGAUUAGCUAGUUGGUGGGGUAAUGGCCUACCAAGGCGACGAUCUAUAGCUGGUCUGAGAGGAUGACCAGCCACAUCGGGACUGAGACACGGCCCGGACUCCUACGGGAGGCAGCAGUGGGGAAUAUUGGACAAUGGGCGCAAGCCUGAUCCAGCAAUGCCGCGUGUGUGAAGAAGGCCUUCGGGUUGUAAAGCACUUUCAAUUGUGAAGAAGAGGUUAAGAUUAAUACUCUUGACCUUUGACGUUAACUUUAGAAGAAGCACCGGCUAACUCUGUGCCAGCAGCCGCGGUAAUACAGAGGGUGCGAGCGUUAAUCGGAAUUACUGGGCGUAAAGCGCGCGUAGGCGGUUAUUUAAGUCAGAUGUGAAAUCCCCGGGCUCAACCUGGGAACUGCACCUGAUACUGGGUAACUAGAGUUUAGGAGAGGGAAGUAGAAUUUCAGGUGUAGCGGUGAAAUGCAUAGAUAUCUGAAGGAAUACCAGUGGCGAAGGCGACUUCCUGGCCUAAAACUGACGCUGAGGUGCGAAAGCGUGGGUAGCAAACGGGAUUAGAUACCCCGGUAGUCCACGCCGUAAACGAUGUCAACUAGUCGUCGGGUCCCUUGAGGGUUCGGUGACGCAGCUAACGCAUUA
This 841-nucleotide ribosomal RNA is filed under the name uncultured bacterium. Its description in RNAcentral is "bacterial SSU rRNA". It matches the Rfam family "Bacterial small subunit ribosomal RNA", at positions 32 to 862 of the family's 1533-position model. The record is from RNAcentral.